AAGUCGGACGGACACCUUCGGGUGUCAGUGGCGGACGGGUGAGUAACGCGUAGGAAUCUACCCCUAGGAGGGGGAUAACAGCUGGAAACGGCUGCUAAUACCCCAUACAGGCGCGAGCUGAAAGGAGCAAUCCGCCUAGGGAUGAGCCUGCGUCGGAUUAGCUAGUUGGUGGGGUAAUGGCCUACCAAGGCGACGAUCCGUAGCGGGUCUGAGAGGAUGGCCCGCCACACUGGGACUGAGACACGGCCCAGACUCCUACGGGAGGCAGCAGUGGGGAAUUUUCCGCAAUGGGCGAAAGCCUGACGGAGCAAUACCGCGUGAGGGAAGAAGGCCUUCGGGUUGUAAACCUCUUUUCUGGGGGACGAA
RNAcentral lists this ribosomal RNA (366 nucleotides) under uncultured bacterium. RNAcentral describes it as "bacterial SSU rRNA". It matches the Rfam family "Bacterial small subunit ribosomal RNA", at positions 59 to 449 of the family's 1533-position model. The record is from RNAcentral.